AGGGAUGUAGUUGAAUAGGUUACAACACCACAUUGUCAAUGUGGAAGGUGUGGGUUCAAAUCCCAUCAUCCUCA
Molecule: non-coding RNA, 74 nt
Organism: Entophlyctis luteolus
Lineage: Eukaryota; Fungi; Chytridiomycota; Chytridiomycetes; Chytridiales; Chytriomycetaceae
Source: the annotation of a GenBank genome assembly